UGUUGACACAUAAAAAUUCAGCCCAAAUCGAACAGCCCAGAGAGUAAAGCCCAAUUGGAGGAUCCCCAAAUCAGACAGCCCAAAGAACGAAAUCCAAUUGAACGAAUCAAGGUGAAUGCCCAAAUAAGGGGCCCAAUAGUGCGGUAACGCCAUCGCCCAAGUUUGUAAGUCGCUCAGAAUCUGAACGAAUAGAGUGGCAUACGGUCGCCCAGAGUCUCGCCCAAAUCUUCAAGUCGCCCAAGGUAUCAACAAACAUAACGCAUUAUGAUUGUCAAGAAAUGCAGUUAUUGAGGC
Molecule: long non-coding RNA, 294 nt
Filed under: Olea europaea (common olive)
Lineage: Eukaryota; Viridiplantae; Streptophyta; Magnoliopsida; Lamiales; Oleaceae
Description: long non-coding RNA (OEUR_LNC011859)
Source: RNAcentral